This 497-nucleotide ribosomal RNA is filed under the name uncultured bacterium. RNAcentral describes it as "partial 16S ribosomal RNA". It matches the Rfam family "Bacterial small subunit ribosomal RNA", at positions 28 to 507 of the family's 1533-position model. The record is from RNAcentral.
GAUGAACGCUGGCGGCGUGCCUAAUACAUGCAAGUCGAGCGAACAGACGAGGAUCUUUCUCCUCUUACGUUACCGGCGGGCGGGUGAUUAACACGUGUAUACCCGACCUAUAAGACUGACAUAACUUCGGGAAACCUGAUCUAAUACCGGAUAACAUGUUGAACCUCAUGGUUCAACAGUGAUAAACCUUCUUGCUGUCCCUUAUACAUGGAUCCUCGCCGCAUUAGCUAGUUGGUAAGGUAAAGGCUUACCAAGGCAACGAUGCGUAACCGACCUGAGAGGAUGAUCGGCCACACUGGAACUGAGACACGGUCCAGACUCCUACGGGAGGCAGCAGUAGGGAAUAUUGCGCAAUGGGCGAAAGCCUGACGGAGCAACGCCGCGUGAGUGAAGAAGGUCUUCGGAUUGUAAAACACUGUUAUUAGGGAAGAAGAAAUGUGAAAGAAAACAUGCACGUUUUGACGGUACCAAAAGAGAAAGCAACGGCUAACUACGUG